Long non-coding RNA from Populus euphratica (Euphrates poplar), 1075 nucleotides. RefSeq lists it as uncharacterized. The transcript has 5 exons. The record is from RefSeq and is a predicted model, not a curated record. Lineage: Eukaryota; Viridiplantae; Streptophyta; Magnoliopsida; Malpighiales; Salicaceae.
ACUUGCACUUACACUUACAUUACACUGUAAAUUAUAUAAAAAAACACUAAAACAGAGCAAGAAAUCCAUGCGCACUAUGGAUUAAACAGUGUUUCUCAUUGAUAAUUUUAUUGAUCUCCCAGGAUAUUUGGUUUGUGUGUGCAGUUGAGUUCUUGCAAACGUGGCUUGUUUGUUAUCAUAAUUUUAUUUUUUUUUCAUUUUUGUGUUUUUGUCUCAAAAUAGGGUGAGGGACAGACACCAACAUACAAUUUUCCUCUCAUGUCGUCGAUCUUCCCUUUCCACCAACGAUCCUCAAACCGAUCGCCAGCCCACAUCGCCUCUCCGUGUUAGAAAAAGGGUGGGGAUUUUUGCUUCGAGGAUCGGUUGUCAUCCAAGGAAGAAAGGAGCUAAAGGACAAAACAGCCAUGAGCAGUAGAUGAAAACUACUUUUCAACUCGAAAGCCUUGGGGAAAUUUCUUGCAUUCUUGCUGAAAUAAUGGGAUGGGGCAAUAUUCUUAAAGCAUCGAAGAAUUGGCUGGAGAGAAAUAUCCAAGUCAUUGUUUUUACUGAUGGUUGGGGAUGUUGGUUGCCAGGAAUGGGAAUCCCAAUAGGAAAACUCUCUCUAUAGACAACAUUAGGAGCAUUACGUCCCUUUGCAGUAAGUGCUUGCCUGUAGCAAUUGAUUUUGGCACAAACAAUGAGAAGUUGUUGAAUGAUGAGUUCUACAUUAGGCUUGGACAAAAGAGGGUAACUUUAUAGGUAGAGUAAUUUUACUUUAUUCCAUUUCCAAUCGACUGAUAUUUCUUCUUUUCUUUUCUAGAUUUUAAAUCAUUCUACGUCUCGAGAUUUUUGUUUUGUCAUUUGUUGUGGUUUAAGAAUAUGCAGAGCUUCUAUAUGAGUUUAGGACUGCAGUUGAAAAGAACUAUGGAGAAAAGUUCCUUACACAGGUGAUGCACAACUGUUCUCUUUUAUUCGUUCCGGGGAAGAAAACUGCAUGCACAAACUUAAUGGUCAUAUAAAAAUCUUUCAAAUAGAAUAGGUGAUAUAGAGAAACAUGUUGAAAUGGCAAACCAAUUAAAGCAAUUAGUCGAUGAUA